Molecule: ribosomal RNA, 253 nt
Filed under: uncultured bacterium
Lineage: Bacteria
Description: partial 16S ribosomal RNA
Rfam family: Bacterial small subunit ribosomal RNA
Source: RNAcentral
UACGUAGGGGGCUAGCGUUGUCCGGAAUCAUUGGGCGUAAAGAGCGCGUAGGCUGCUCGGUAAGUCCGCUGUAAAAGUCAAAGGCUUAACCUUUGAAUGUCAGUGGAAACUGCCGGGCUAGAGUCCGGAAGAGGCGAGUGGAAUUCCUGGUGUAGCGGUGGAAUGCGUAGAUAUCUGGAGGAACACCGGUGGCGAAGGCGGCAUCCUGGACCAACACUGACGCUGAGGAGCGAAAGCCAGGGGAGCAAACGGG